GAAAACAAAGAUAGGCUGGACAAGAGUGAGAUAAGGCUGUCAAAAUCUGCGUUGUCUUUGAAUAUGGAUUUGAUUAAGCAGUUAGAUAGCAAAGCGGCCAGACAAGGAAAGAAAGCUGAUACAUUCUCCCUUAUUCGCUCCACUCAAGCACCCUCUUUGUUACAGCUGAAAGAUGUUGUAUUGUCCAGUGCAGUUGAUCUGCGAG
RNAcentral lists this unclassified non-coding RNA (205 nucleotides) under Hevea brasiliensis (rubber tree). The record is from RNAcentral. Lineage: Eukaryota; Viridiplantae; Streptophyta; Magnoliopsida; Malpighiales; Euphorbiaceae.